This 429-nucleotide ribosomal RNA is filed under the name Actinomycetes bacterium. Its description in RNAcentral is "Actinobacteria bacterium partial 16S ribosomal RNA". It matches the Rfam family "Bacterial small subunit ribosomal RNA", at positions 355 to 776 of the family's 1533-position model. The record is from RNAcentral. Lineage: Bacteria; Bacillati; Actinomycetota; Actinomycetes.
UAGGGAAUCUUCCGCAAUGGGCGAAAGCCUGACGGAGCAACGCCGCGUGAGUGAUGAAGGUCUUCGGAUCGUAAAACUCUGUUAUUAGGGAAGAACAAAUGUGUAAGUAACUAUGCACGUCUUGACGGUACCUAAUCAGAAAGCCACGGCUAACUACGUGCCAGCAGCCGCGGUAAUACGUAGGUGGCAAGCGUUAUCCGGAAUUAUUGGGCGUAAAGCGCGCGUAGGCGGUUUUUUAAGUCUGAUGUGAAAGCCCACGGCUCAACCGUGGAGGGUCAUUGGAAACUGGAAAACUUGAGUGCAGAAGAGGAAAGGGGAAUUCCAUGUGUAGCAGUGAAAUGCGCAGAGAUAUGGAGGAACACCAGUGGCGAAGGCGACUUUCUGGUCUGUAACUGACGCUGAUGUGCGAAAGCGUGGGGAUCAAACAGG